GUGUGCUCGGGGCCGGGGGCGGCGGUAACAUGUAGGGGACGGGGGUGGUCCGGAGUCAUGAGGCGUGAGGCGCGCGGAGGCGGCUCGGAAGGUCGGUCGUGAAAUGCCGGGGGUCAACCCCGGGACUGCGUCCGAUACUCCCGAGCUGGAGGCAGGUAGGGGAGAUCGGAAUUCCUGGUGUAGCGGUGAAAUGCGCAGAUAUCAGGAGGAACACCGGUGGCGAAGGCGGAUCUCUGGGCCUUGCCUGACGCUGAGGCGCGAAAGCUAGGGGAGCGAACAGGAUUAGAUACCCGGGUAGUC
Molecule: ribosomal RNA, 300 nt
Filed under: uncultured Natrinema sp.
Lineage: Archaea; Methanobacteriati; Methanobacteriota; Halobacteria; Halobacteriales; Natrialbaceae
Description: bacterial SSU rRNA
Rfam family: Bacterial small subunit ribosomal RNA (bases 52-300)
Source: RNAcentral